Nymphaea colorata (pocket water lily) is the source of this 1588-nucleotide long non-coding RNA. RefSeq lists it as uncharacterized. NCBI's taxonomy places the organism in Eukaryota, Viridiplantae, Streptophyta, Magnoliopsida, Nymphaeales, Nymphaeaceae. The record is from RefSeq and is a predicted model, not a curated record. The transcript is spliced from 3 exons.
UUAUCUAUAAUCAUGCAUAUGCAUUGAGUUUGAUGAGAAAAUUUACAAAAGGAGUUGAAUUAAUACGACCUGCACAAACUAGAUUUGCCACAAAUGUAUUGACUGUGCAGAGCAGAGUGUGGUGAAACAAAGAACUCCUUUGAGACAGAUGUUUGCUAGUGAAGAAUGGGCUACAUAUCCACAUGCUCAUAAAAGAAAUGCUUCUUUAGUUGUGGAUAUUAUAUUCAAUAACGUAUUUUGGGAAUCAUGUGUGAAGUUAUUGAAGGUUUGUGUUCCAUUAGUUAAGGUUCUCAGGUUGGCUGACAGCGAGGACAGACCUUCCAUACGGUACUUAUAUGAGGCUAUGGACAAAGCAAAAGAGGCAAUUCGAGAUAACUUAAAGGAAAAGAAAAAGUUAUAUAUGCCCAUAUAGAAGAUUAUAGAUAAAAGGUGGACUGGACAGCUUCAUCAACCUCUUCAUGCAGCAGCUUAUUAUCUAAAUCCUGCAAUUAGAUUUUCUCCUACAUUUAAGAAGGACAGAGAAGUCAUGCAUGGUUUGUUAGAUUGUAUUAAUGUGUUAGUGGAAGAUUCUACAGAACAAGAUGCUGUGCACAAUGAGUUGGAUCUAUAUGAUAGUUGUUUUCGGAACAUGGGACUACCUGCCGCCGUUCGAGCCAGGACAACGAUGCGUCCAGAUUUGUGGUGGAAUAGGUAUGGGUUUGAUUGUCCAAACCUAGCACGUUUUGCAGUCAAAGUCCUCAGCCAGACAUGCAGUGCUAGUGGAUGCGAAAGGAACUGGAGUGUGUUCUAACAUAUCCAUAGCAAAAAAAGGAAUAGGCUCGAACAUAAAAGGUUGAAUGACCUUGUCUUUGUUCGAUAUAAUAUGAGGUUGAAACAAAGAGAAUUAGAAAAAUCAUUAGCAAGGAAGCACACAUCUCAGUUCGAUCCUAUCAGCUUAGAAAAUUUUUGACGAUCUAGAGCCAUGGAUUGAAGAAGAACCAGCUACAAUAUUUGAUGAUGAAGAUCUUGAAUGCUUCAACCUUGAAGUUGAAGCAACAGAAGGCUUUGUUGAUGAAGGAGAGUCUGCUACUGCGGGUGCUGAAUAUGUUGGUGAAGAUCUUCCAAUUCUUGACGAUGAAGAAGAAGAAGAAGAUGAAGAUGAUGAAGAUUAUGAAUGAUGAAUCAUGAAUGAGAGUCAAGUCAAGAGUGCUUUCAUUUUAUAUGUAUCAAAAACUUAAGAGUUAUGAAUCUAUGGUUGUUGAACACUUGAUUGAAUGUUUUAUCAUUUAUGACUUUAUCACUUUAUGGCUUAUGGCCUUAUGCUUUGUUGAAUGAUAUUGUAUUAUUAUUGUUAUGAAUUUUGAUGUUUAUGAAUGAUGAACGCGUAAGUUUAUAGCAAUAAUAAGUCUAUCAUUAUCUCAAACAUGUUUUCUAUGAACAAUUUAUUAUUUUUAAUUUUUUCUGAUUUUUUUAUGAAUUUUCCGAUUUUUUUUAAAUUUUUUCUGAUUUAUUAAUAAUUUUUAAAAAAAAUUUACGAUACGGUUACGAUACGUUACGAUACGGCGUAUCUUAAAGCCCGACCGAUACGGCUUACGAUACGCGUUUUACA